GACGAACGCUGGCGGCGUGCUUAACACAUGCAAGUCGAACGGAAAGGCCCCUUUGGGGGUACUCGAGUGGCGAACGGGUGAGUAACAAGUGAGUAAGCUACCCUUGAUUGCGGGAUAACUUCAGGAAACUGGGGCUAAUACCGGAUAGGAAGCCUUGCUGGAUGGUGGGGGGUGGAAAGCUUCGGGCGUUUUGGAGGGACUCGCGGCCUAUCAGCUUGUUGGUGGGGUAGUGGCUUACCAAGGCUUUGAUUGGUAGCCGGCCUGAGAGGGGGACCGGCCAAAUUGGGACUUAGAAACGGCCCCGGAUCCCACGGGGGGCCGGCAUGGGGAAUAUUGCCCCAUGGGGCGGAACCCGAUGCAAGCACGCCCCCUGCAGGAUGACCGCCUUCCGGUUUGAAACCCCUUUCAGCCGGGGCGAAGCUUGUGGUGACGGUACCUGCAGAAGAAGCACCGGCUAACUACGUG
This 465-nucleotide ribosomal RNA is filed under the name uncultured bacterium. RNAcentral describes it as "partial 16S ribosomal RNA". It matches the Rfam family "Bacterial small subunit ribosomal RNA", at positions 28 to 507 of the family's 1533-position model. The record is from RNAcentral.